Triticum aestivum (bread wheat) is the source of this 135-nucleotide non-coding RNA. NCBI's taxonomy places the organism in Eukaryota, Viridiplantae, Streptophyta, Magnoliopsida, Poales, Poaceae. The record is from Rfam.
AAAGUACUCCCUCCAUCCCGAAAUUCUUGUCUUAGAUUUGUCUAGAUACGGAUGUAUCAAGUCACAUUUUAGUAUUAGAUACAUCCGUAUCUAGACAAAUCUAAGACAAGAAAUUUGGGACAGAGGGAGUAGUUG